RNAcentral lists this long non-coding RNA (621 nucleotides) under Gallus gallus (chicken). The record is from RNAcentral. Lineage: Eukaryota; Metazoa; Chordata; Aves; Galliformes; Phasianidae.
CGGGAAACGCCCCCACAUCUCAGUAAUGUCGCCGUGUAGCCUUCGCUUUGUGUUUUUAUUGCUUGUCCCUUGUGAGAGCUACGGGCUGCUCAGGGCUCCGUCUGCUCUCGCAGAGCUCUCGCCAAAGCCCCUCAGCGGCGCCGCGCCGUCGGCUGCUUCCACCUCUUCGUCCUCCUCCGACCAGCUCAGGCUGUCGUCCGAGUCGUCCUCGGGCUCCUCUGUGCUGACCGCCGCCUUCUCCGGCUCGCCCUGAGCGCAGGCCUUGCUCUGGGGGUGCUCCAGCCUGGCCCAGGCCCCGGGGUUGGCCUUACGGAGCGUGAUCUCCACCUUGGUGGGAACCAUGCUCACAAAGCUCUUCUCUGCUUCGAUGACCCCCCAGAGAUCGAGUUCUGCCUGGAAAAUCUUAUUCCCUUCGAAGAUGACGUGAACUUCAAGCACAGUGCGGUUGGCCUUCACACUGCUGAGGGUGGGCAGAGGGUUCUUGCCAUAGAUUGUCACCACCACUUGGCUGCUGGUUUGGUGCCAGUCCUGCCUGCAUGACACCGCCUUCUUGUCCGCCUUUCCCAUCCAGCAGUGCCGCCCCGUGCUGCAGCCCGGCUGCUCCAGGAAGGCACUGAAGUC